UACAGAGGGUGCGAGCGUUAAUCGGAAUUACUGGGCGUAAAGCGUGCGCAGGCGGUUGUGCAAGACAGGUGUGAAAUCCCCGGGCUUAACCUGGGAACUGCACUUGUGACUGCACGGCUAGAGUACGGUAGAGGGGGAUGGAAUUCCGCGUGUAGCAGUGAAAUGCGUAGAUAUGCGGAGGAACACCGAUGGCGAAGGCAAUCCCCUGGACCUGUACUGACGCUCAUGCACGAAAGCGUGGGGAGCAAACAGG
Molecule: ribosomal RNA, 253 nt
Filed under: uncultured bacterium
Lineage: Bacteria
Description: partial 16S ribosomal RNA
Rfam family: Bacterial small subunit ribosomal RNA
Source: RNAcentral